GUAGGUGGCAAGCGUUGUCCGGAAUUAUUGGGCGUAAAGCGCGCGCAGGCGGUUCUUUAAGUCUGAUGUGAAAGCCCACGGCUCAACCGUGGAGGGUCAUUGGAAACUGGAGAACUUGAGUACAGAAGAGGAAAGCGGAAUUCCACGUGUAGCGGUGAAAUGCGUAGAGAUGUGGAGGAACACCAGUGGCGAAGGCGGCUUUCUGGUCUGUAACUGACGCUGAGGCGCGAAAGCAUGGGGAGCAAACAGGAUUAGAUACCCUGGUAGUCCACGCCGUAAACGAUGAGUGCUAAGUGUUAGGGGGUUUCCGCCCCCCUUAGUGCUGCAGCUAACGCAUUAAGCACUCCGCCUGGGAGUACGGCCGCAAGGCUG
This 372-nucleotide ribosomal RNA is filed under the name uncultured organism. Its description in RNAcentral is "partial 16S ribosomal RNA". It matches the Rfam family "Bacterial small subunit ribosomal RNA", at positions 527 to 896 of the family's 1533-position model. The record is from RNAcentral.